RNAcentral lists this ribosomal RNA (2508 nucleotides) under Triticum aestivum (bread wheat). Its description in RNAcentral is "partial small subunit ribosomal RNA". The record is from RNAcentral. Lineage: Eukaryota; Viridiplantae; Streptophyta; Magnoliopsida; Poales; Poaceae.
AUGUCCAACGGAAGCACUCCCGACCCGCUCCACCCCUCCACCGGAGGCGUCAAAUACGUCCCCAGCAUCUUCCCCAGCGGAGAGUCCGACGACGAUGAGUUCCCCACGUACGGAGAGUUCUCGCUGAGACCGCGCCGCAAUCAACGCUACGGCGGCGUCGACGAAGAGAGCCGUCCUUCCUCCCCCGCCUUACUCCGGCAUAGCAGGCCCAGUUGCUCCGUCCUCCGGGGGUCUCGGCUGCGCACAGAAUCUAUCCGUCAUCGCUCCUCCGACUCCCUCGAGGCUCCCUUGGUUAACCUGAAGCAGCAGAGGCGUCGCCAUUUGGCCUCCGGUGCUUCUGCCCCCGCCUCCGGUGGAGUUGCUCCGGCGCACUUCGUGACCCCGACCGCAGCGACGGCGAGCCCGCUCGCCUUCUCGACCUCUCCGUCGCCGAUCGAUUUGGCAGCCGCAGCCGAUGCUCCCGGCGGUCGUACCAGCGGAUCCGUGUACAGGCCGCCCGUUGUGAAGACCCGCACCACAUUGAACAGUUCUGCCGGAGGCCGGCGCGGUUCUCUCGUGGGCGCCGCGCCCAAGGCAGCUCCGACUCCGAAGGAGACGGCUUUGAGCACGUACGGCCGGGAUAUGACGGUGGUGGCUGGCAUGACUGAUCCGGUGAUCGGCCGCGACGACGAGAUCGAUCGUGUCGUCUGCAUCCUGUGCCGACGGACCAAGAACAGCGCCCUGCUGGUCGGCGCACCGGGAGUCGGCAAGACGGCCAUUGCCGAGGGGCUCGCUCGGCGCAUCGCAGGUGGGAUGGUGCCCGCUGCUCUUGCCGGGGCGCGCGUGGUGGAGGUCGACCUGGGGGCGAUGGUGGCAGGGACCCAGUACCGCGGCAUGUUCGAGCAACGCCUCAAGGAUGUGAUCAAGGAAGCGGAGGAUGCGGACGGCCAGGUAGUUCUGUUCAUCGACGAGGUGCACAUGCUUGUCGGCCCCGGGAAGACCAAGGGCGGCAGCAUGGACGGCGCCAACCUGCUGAAGCCGGCAUUGGCCCGCGGUCGUAUCCGAUGCGUGGGCGCUCCGACUUUCGACGAGUACCGCAAGUACAUUGAAAAAGACGCCGCACUGGAGCGACGGUUCCAGAAGGUGCAUGUGGAGGAGCCAAGCACGCAGGCAACCAUUUGUAUUCUGCGGGGGCUAAAGCAGAGGUAUGAAGACCACCAUGGCCUGAAGAUUCAGGAUGCUGCUCUUGUUGCUGCUGCACAGCUUGCUGGCCGCUAUAUAACUGGUCGUCAGUUUCCUGAUAAGGCAAUUGAUCUGAUUGACGAGGCAUGUUCCACCACAUGGAUGCAGAUUGAUAGCCAAAGACAAUGGAGCCCAACACAAAGUACCUCCGCAAGAGUAGUGCGGGAUGGAGUUCUUUGCCCAGAUCAUGUUGCGCAAAUUGUGAGUCGAUGGACAGGAAUUCCCGUCGCCACGCUUGAUGAAGAGGAGAAGGAGAAGUUGAUCCACCUUGCUAACAGAUUGCAUGAGCGAGUCGUUGACCAGGAUGAAGCGGUCAAUUUGGUUGCACAAGCAGUGUUACGUGCCAGAGCUGGUCUUAAUCAAUCCGGCCAACCGAUAGGAUCUUUCCUCUUUCUAGGACCGACUGGUGUGGGAAAGACUGAGCUCACAAAAGCUCUUGCUGAGCAACUAUUCAAUACUGAGAAGAUGUUGGUUCGCUUUGACAUGUCUGAGUAUGUUAAUAGUGGAUCUGUGUUGCGCCUCAUUGGAGCACCUCCGAGUUAUCAUGGUCAUGAAGAUGGUGGGCAACUGACUGAGAAAAUCAGGAGGCGCCCAUACAGUGUCAUACUCUUUGAGGUGGAGAAGGCAGAUCCGUCGGUGUUUAAUGUUUUUCUUCAGCUCCUUGAUGAUGGUAUGUUGACUGAUGGCAAGGGACAGACCAUGGAUUUCAAGAAUACCAUCAUCAUUAUGACAUCAAAUAUGGGAGCAGAGCACCUAACAGCAUGAAUGAAUGGAGAAACAACAAUGGAAGCAGCACGCGGUCUUGUUAUGGAGCAGGUUCAGAAAUGCUUCAAGCCUGAGCUUCUCAACAGAUUGAGUGAGGUGGUGAUAUUUGAACCUCUUUCGCAUGACAAACUGAAGGAGGUAGUCAAAAUCCAGAUGAAGAUUAUUAUUUCCAAUGUAGCUAACAAGGGCAUCUCUCUAGUUGCCAGUGACGAUGCGCUAGAUGUCAUUCUGUUAGAAUCAUACAACCCAAUGUAUGGUGCAAGGCCCAUAAGGAGGUGGGUGCAUAAGAAUGUCAUGACAAAGCUCUCGGAGUUGCUGGUCAAAGGGGAAGUCGACGAGGGCACUAUGGUUUCCGUUGAUGCUAGGACCGACAAGAAGGGGCUGGAAUAUCAAGUGGUGAAGAAGGUGAUAGAGGCACGGGGCAAGAAGCCAGUGAUGGAGGUUCCUAGCGACUCCUAUGAUAGUGACGAUGUGGUCGAGGUCUUUCCCGUAGCGAAGAAGGCAAAGGUAGUGGGCUUUUAG